This 274-nucleotide ribosomal RNA is filed under the name uncultured bacterium. RNAcentral's name for it is "partial 16S ribosomal RNA". It matches the Rfam family "Bacterial small subunit ribosomal RNA", at positions 523 to 796 of the family's 1533-position model. The record is from RNAcentral.
AUACGAGGGGUGCAAGCGUUAAUCGGAAUUACUGGGCGUAAAGCGUUCGUAGGCGGUUUGUUAAGCAAGAUGUGAAAGCCCUGGGCUCAACCUGGGAACUGCAUUUUGAACUGGCAAGCUAGAAUCCUGUAGAGGGGGGUGGAAUUUCCAGUGUAGCGGUGGAAUGCGUAGAGAUUGGAAGGAACAUCAGUGGCGAAGGCGGCCACCUGGACAGAUAUUGACGCUGAGGAACGAAAGCGUGGGGAGCGAACAGGAUUAGAAACCCUAGUAGUCC